AGUGAACGCUGGCGGUAGGCCUAACACAUGCAAGUCGAACGGCAGCACAGUAAUAGCUUGCUCUUACGGGUGGCGAGUGGCGGACGGGUGAGGAAUACAUCGGAAUCUACUUUUUCGUGGGGGAUAACGUAGGGAAACUUACGCUAAUACCGCAUACGACCUACGGGUGAAAGCAGGGGAUCUUCGGACCUUGCGCGAUUGAAUGAGCCGAUGUCGGAUUAGCUAGUUGGCGGGGUAAAGGCCCACCAAGGCGACGAUCCGUAGCUGGUCUGAGAGGAUGAUCAGGCAGAUUGGAACUGAGAAACGGCACAGACUCCUACGGGAGGACGCAGUGGGGAAUAUUGGACAAUGGGCGCAAGCCUGAUACAGCCAUACCGCGUGGGUGAAGAAGGACUUCGGGUUGUAAAGCCAUUUUGUUGGGAAAGAAAAGCAGCAGGUUAAUACCCCGCUGUUCUGACGGUACCCAAAGAAUAAGCACCGGCUAACUUCGUG
RNAcentral lists this ribosomal RNA (492 nucleotides) under uncultured bacterium. RNAcentral's name for it is "partial 16S ribosomal RNA". It matches the Rfam family "Bacterial small subunit ribosomal RNA", at positions 29 to 507 of the family's 1533-position model. The record is from RNAcentral.